UGCCAAUGUCAAGAAAAUCCUGUCAUCACGUCGUUGGUCUUCUGGCCUUCUUCAGGCUUACGCAGCCAAGGCUGUCUCGCAGGAAGAUUUCUUCAGAAACCACCCCUGGGCCUCACUGAAAACGUGUGGGUUAGGUGUCCCAUCGCAGCAGUGGUCCAGGAACAGUCUAGGAAAACAUUCCGCCUUUUCCGAAGACCGUGACCUUCUACAGUGACUGAAACCUAUUUUGGUUGAACUCUUAUUUGUGUGAAGUCUGUCAUUACGUGUUCUUCUCAGGUUAGUUCUCCCACUCAGCCUCCAAAAUGUUAAUAAAUGUUUGGCAGAAAAAUGAAUGAUGCUUGUG
RNAcentral lists this long non-coding RNA (343 nucleotides) under Anser brachyrhynchus (Pink-footed goose). Its description in RNAcentral is "lncRNA (ENSABRG00000011855.1)". The record is from RNAcentral. Lineage: Eukaryota; Metazoa; Chordata; Aves; Anseriformes; Anatidae.